RNAcentral lists this ribosomal RNA (306 nucleotides) under uncultured bacterium. RNAcentral's name for it is "bacterial SSU rRNA". It matches the Rfam family "Bacterial small subunit ribosomal RNA", at positions 233 to 523 of the family's 1533-position model. The record is from RNAcentral.
GCGUCGUGAUUAGCUAGAUGGUAAGGUAAAAGCUUACCAUAGCUACGAUCAGUAGCUGGUCUAGAGAGGAUGAUCAGCCACACUGGGACUGAGGAUACGGCCCAGACUCCUACGGGAGGCAGCAGGUGAGGAAUUUUGCGCAAUGGGGGAAACCCUGACGGCAGCAACGCCGCGUGGAUCGAUGAAGCUUUGCGGAGUGUAAAGAUCUGUCAUAAGGGAAGGAAUAAUAUAUAUUCUAACACAAUAUAUAUCUGACGGUACCUUAUAAGAAAGCACCGGCUAACUAUGUGCCAGCAGCCGCGGUAA